This is a non-coding RNA of Vicia faba (fava bean), 225 nucleotides long. The record is from the annotation of a GenBank genome assembly. NCBI's taxonomy places the organism in Eukaryota, Viridiplantae, Streptophyta, Magnoliopsida, Fabales, Fabaceae.
AUGUAUGCUCCUAUCUUAUACAGAUGCAGAGUUCAUCAUUUCUUUAUCAUGGUAAUCAAUCAUUUUUAUAUUUAUUUCCAAUUGGGCGUGCAUAUUGAAUUUAAUAAAAUUCAACAUGAUGUCUUCGUGAUAAAAUCAAAAAGAUGCUAUGUGGAAUCAAAAUCUAGACAAUCCAACAACAUUUGUGCAAGAGAUAAGGGAGAGUAUCAAGCAGCGGGUGGUUAA